GGCCUAUUAGCUCAAUUGGUUAGAGUGUCGUGCUAAUAAUGCGAAGCUCACAGGUUUGAAACCUGCAUGCGCCA
RNAcentral lists this transfer RNA (74 nucleotides) under Zingiber officinale. It matches the Rfam family "tRNA". From Rfam's summary of the family: Transfer RNA (tRNA) molecules are approximately 80 nucleotides in length. Their secondary structure includes four short double-helical elements and three loops (D, anti-codon, and T loops). The record is from Rfam by way of RNAcentral. Lineage: Eukaryota; Viridiplantae; Streptophyta; Magnoliopsida; Zingiberales; Zingiberaceae.